UACGAAGGGGGCUAGCGUUGCUCGGAAUUACUGGGCGUAAAGGGAGCGUAGGCGGGUUAUCAAGUUGGGGGUGAAAUCCCGGGGCUCAACCUCGGAAUUGCCUUCAAAACUGAUAGCCUAGAGUAUGAUAGAGGUAUGUGGAAUUCCGAGUGUAGAGGUGAAAUUCGUAGAUAUUCGGAGGAACACCAGUGGCGAAGGCGACAUACUGGGUCAUGACUGACGCUGAGGCUCGAAAGCGUGGGGAGCAAACAGG
RNAcentral lists this ribosomal RNA (253 nucleotides) under uncultured bacterium. RNAcentral's name for it is "partial 16S ribosomal RNA". It matches the Rfam family "Bacterial small subunit ribosomal RNA", at positions 524 to 776 of the family's 1533-position model. The record is from RNAcentral.